RNAcentral lists this unclassified non-coding RNA (438 nucleotides) under Hevea brasiliensis (rubber tree). The record is from RNAcentral. Lineage: Eukaryota; Viridiplantae; Streptophyta; Magnoliopsida; Malpighiales; Euphorbiaceae.
UUUUAUUUAUUUAUUUUUUAAUUAGGCAAUUACAAUAUAGUUCUUCCUUUAUUCUAUGGUCUGUUUAGGGAGCUUUAGAACAGAAUUAAAAUGUUUUGAUAGCAAAUUCACGAGAAUAUAAUGAAAUGUGUUAAUAUUUUCUAGAGCGGUGACAUUUUCUAGCACUAGAUGAUUUAUGGUCAUGUAACAUUACAUUUGAAAGAAGCCUUGAUGUAGUAGUAAGGUUGCUUCAUUGUUACCAAAGAUCAUGGAUCCAAACCUUGAAAACAGCCUCCUUCCAAUGUAAGAAAAAAAGUUGCACACAUCUAGCCCCUAUAGAGCUUGCAAUGUAGGAAGCCUCAUGCAUUCAGACACACUUUUUUACAUUGACCCUGACUAUAGAAAAUUUACUAAGAAGAAAGAAAUUUAUUUAAGUGCAAUGGGAGUAGAAGUUACAGA